Trichogramma pretiosum is the source of this 375-nucleotide long non-coding RNA. RefSeq lists it as uncharacterized. The record is from RefSeq and is a predicted model, not a curated record. NCBI's taxonomy places the organism in Eukaryota, Metazoa, Arthropoda, Insecta, Hymenoptera, Trichogrammatidae. The transcript is spliced from 2 exons.
AAAAAUUCAGUGUUGGAAAAAGUUUAGAGAGUUUACUAAGUAGGCAAAAUAUUUAAAUUUAAAAUGAAGAACUUACUAUUGCUGCUGCUGCUAGUUCUUGCGAUGUCUAAUCUAUCAAUUGCACUCGCACCUGAUGCUGACCCUAACCGCCCUCCUCCUAUUGCUUGGACCUAUGACUUAUUAUCUAUACAUAAAACAACGCCAAAACCACCUGUUUACGCAAAGAAAUGAGUAAGAUAAAGAGGUGAUUAAAAAUGUCGCACAGUAUUAACUGCCUUGAUGAAUGCCAAAAAUCAAUACAACUUUAUUAAACUGUACUAUUGUCGAGAAAAUUUGUUUCUAUGAUCGAAAUAGAUGAUAUGUCUUAUGUCUAAA